CUCUGCCUUGCUACAGUCCUCUGUGGCUAUUUAAGCCAUCCCCCACGGAAACUAGCCGUUAGACACCUUUUUCUGCCCGUUCUGCACACUCUGCACAACCUGACAAUAUGUCCGUUGGGGGUCGGAGUCGACUCGCGCGAUCAGGAGUCGACUCGGCUGUAGCGGGAGUCGACUCAUGCUUUUCUGGAGUCGACUCGGCAACUGUUCCGGAUUUGAAUUAAAGUGGCCUCUUCGACUGGGAGUCGACUCGACUUGACC
This 258-nucleotide long non-coding RNA is filed under the name Phoenix dactylifera (date palm). RNAcentral's name for it is "long non-coding RNA (PDAC_LNC016384)". Lineage: Eukaryota; Viridiplantae; Streptophyta; Magnoliopsida; Arecales; Arecaceae. The record is from RNAcentral.